UACGGAGGGUGCGAGCGUUAAUCGGCAUUACUGGGCGUAAAGCGCGCGUAGGCGGUUUGUUUAGUCGGAUGUGAAAGCCCCGGGCUCAACCUGGGAAUUGCAUUCGAUACUGGCAGACUAGAGUAUGGUAGAGGGUAGCGGAAUUCCCGGUGUAGCGGUGAAAUGCGUAGAUAUCGGGAAGAACAACAGUGGCGAAGGCGGCACUCUGGGCCGGUACUGACGCUGAGGUACGAAAGUGUGGGGAGCAAACAGG
RNAcentral lists this ribosomal RNA (253 nucleotides) under uncultured bacterium. RNAcentral describes it as "partial 16S ribosomal RNA". It matches the Rfam family "Bacterial small subunit ribosomal RNA", at positions 524 to 776 of the family's 1533-position model. The record is from RNAcentral.